RNAcentral lists this unclassified non-coding RNA (337 nucleotides) under soil metagenome. Its description in RNAcentral is "partial contains 5.8S ribosomal RNA, internal transcribed spacer 2, and large subunit ribosomal RNA". The stretch from base 1 to 121 matches the Rfam family "5.8S ribosomal RNA", at positions 35 to 154 of the family's 154-position model. The record is from RNAcentral.
GAUGAAGAACGUAGCGAAAUGCGAUAAGUAAUGCGAAUUGCAGAAUUCCAGUGAGUCAUCGAAUCUUUGAACGCACAUUGCGCCCGCCAGUAUUCUGGCGGGCAUGCCUGUUCGAGCGUCAUUUCAACCAUCAAGCCCCAGGCUUGUGUUGGGGACCUGCGGCUGCCGCAGGCCCUGAAAACCAGUGGCGGGCUCGCUGUCACACCGGGCGUAGUAGAUUUUAUCUCGCUCAGGGCGUGCUGCGGGUUCCGGCCGUUAAAAAGCCUUUUUUACCCAAGGUUGACCUCGGAUCAGGUAGGAAGACCCGCUGAACUUAAGCAUAUCAAUAAGCGGAGGA